RNAcentral lists this ribosomal RNA (860 nucleotides) under Leptosphaeria sp. PHY-54. RNAcentral describes it as "eukaryotic LSU rRNA". It matches the Rfam family "Eukaryotic large subunit ribosomal RNA", at positions 56 to 940 of the family's 3401-position model. Lineage: Eukaryota; Fungi; Ascomycota; Dothideomycetes; Pleosporales; Leptosphaeriaceae. The record is from RNAcentral.
GACCACAGGGAUUGCCCUAGUAACGGCGAGUGAAGCGGCAACAGCUCAAAUUUGAAAUCUGGCUCUUUUAGGGUCCGAGUUGUAAUUUGCAGAGGGCGCUUUGGCGUUGGCAGCGGUCCAAGUUCCUUGGAACAGGACGUCACAGAGGGUGAGAAUCCCGUACGUGGUCGCUAACCUUCGCCGUGUAAAGCCCCUUCGACGAGUCGAGUUGUUUGGGAAUGCAGCUCUAAAUGGGAGGUAAAUUUCUUCUAAAGCUAAAUACUGGCCAGAGACCGAUAGCGCACAAGUAGAGUGAUCGAAAGAUGAAAAGCACUUUGGAAAGAGAGUCAAAUAGCACGUGAAAUUGUUAAAAGGGAAGCGCUUGCAGCCAGACUUGCCUGUAGUUGCUCAUCCGGACUUUUGUCCGGUGCACUCUUCUAUAGGCAGGCCAGCAUCAGUUUGGGCGGUUAGAUAAAGGUCUCUGUCAUGUACCUCCUUUCGGGGAGGCCUUAUAGGGGAGACGACAUGUAACCAGCCUGGACUGAGGUCCGCGCAUUUAUGCUAGGAUGCUGGCGUAAUGGCUGUAAGCGGCCCGUCUUGAAACACGGACCAAGGAGUCUAACAUCUAUGCGAGUGUUUGGGUGUCAAGCCCGAACGCGUAAUGAAAGUGAACGGAGGUGGGAACCCUUUAGGGUGCACCAUCGACCGAUCCUGAUGUCUUCGGAUGGAUUUGAGUAAGAGCAUGGCUGUUGGGACCCGAAAGAUGGUGAACUAUGCUUGAAUAGGGUGAAGCCAGAGGAAACUCUGGUGGAGGCUCGCAGCGGUUCUGACGUGCAAAUCGAUCGUCAAAUUUGGGCAUAGGGGCGAAAGACUAAUCGAAC